AACCUAGCACACCUGCGGUGUGUACCUGCGGAGGGAUCAUUACACAAUAACAUAUGAAGGCUGUACGCGGCUGCGCCCUCGGGCCAGUUGGCUGAGGCUGGAGUAUUUAUUACCCUUGUCUUUUGCGCACUUGUUGUUUCCUGGGCGGGUUCGCCCGCCACCAGGACCACAUGAUAAACCUUUUUUUAUGCAGUUGCAAUCAGCGUCAGUACAACAAAUGUAAAUCAUUUACAACUUUCA
RNAcentral lists this unclassified non-coding RNA (240 nucleotides) under soil metagenome. RNAcentral's name for it is "partial contains 5.8S ribosomal RNA, internal transcribed spacer 2, and large subunit ribosomal RNA". The record is from RNAcentral.